UUGGGGGGUCGGACCCACAGGCGGCGCAUGGUUGUCCUCAGCUCGUGUCGAGAGAUGUGGGGUUAAGUCCCGCAACGAGCACACCCUUUCUCUUUAUUCCCCAGCAUUAAGUUGGGCACUUUAAGGAGACUGCCGGUGACAAACCGGAGGAAGGUGGGGAUGACGUCAAAUCAUCAUGCCCCUUAUGACCUGGGCUACACACGUGCUACAAUGGAUGGUACAAAGGGCAGCGAAGCCGCGAGGUGAAGCGAAUCCCAUAAAACCAUUCUCAGUUCGGAUUGUAGGCUGCAACUCGCCUACAUGAAGCCGGAAUCGCUAGUAAUCGCGGAUCAGCAUGCCGCGGUGAAUACGUUCCCGGGCCUUGUACACACCGCCCGUCA
RNAcentral lists this ribosomal RNA (380 nucleotides) under Bacillus sp. (in: firmicutes). RNAcentral describes it as "bacterial SSU rRNA". It matches the Rfam family "Bacterial small subunit ribosomal RNA", at positions 1018 to 1399 of the family's 1533-position model. Lineage: Bacteria; Bacillati; Bacillota; Bacilli; Caryophanales; Bacillaceae. The record is from RNAcentral.